GGCUGCUUGGUCCAGGGGUAAGAUGGAUCCUUCGGGUUUUGCACCCAGAACAACUGUUCUAGAUUGGAUUCGACCCGGGUUCGAGUCCCGGAGCGGCCC
Non-coding RNA from Apiotrichum porosum, 99 nucleotides. Lineage: Eukaryota; Fungi; Basidiomycota; Tremellomycetes; Trichosporonales; Trichosporonaceae. The record is from the annotation of a RefSeq genome assembly.